CCUGGGUGCUCUUCCCGUGGCGGAGGAGCUGUAGUCCCUACGUGUUAAGUAGAUCCCAUCCCAAAAUAACAACGGCACACGCUUCCAUAGUCUCUUUCGGUAGCCGGACUGGAACCCCCUCUGGUGACAGGCGCUCAAGGCGAGGACGCUUCGGACGCGGACAAGACGUGUCAGUCCUCGAGUUGGUGCCCUGUCUCUAAAAAAUAGGAUCCUGAGAGAGGAAAGAAUUUUUGUUAAACAACUAAAAGUUUAAGUUAAGUUGAGCCUCUGAAUGAGAACACAGCCCAGCUGACACCUGUUUGUAACUUCGAGACCAGCCUGAGGAGAACACCCAGUGAAACUGUGUCCAGACUCCAAGUCCACAAAACACUGUGAGAUAAUAAAUCUCUGGCUUCUCUGGACUCAGCUUCUGAGAAUGAUUGGCAGCUCUAAAAUCAUGGCCCCGGUGCCUCUUACAUUCAGUGAUGUGUCCAUAGACUUCUCUCAGGAGGAGUGGGAAUGCCUAAAUUCAGAUCAGAAGAAUUUGUACAGAGAUGUGAUGUUGGAGAUUUAUACUAACUUGGUAUCACUGGCUUGAAGAACUUAAUUUCUUGGAGUACAUGUCUGCUAAUGACAAAUUUCUGAAUGUUGAGCUUUAAGCCAACUACAGAGGAUGAAAUGGAUGGAUGGCAUCACUGACUCGAUGGGCAUGAGUUUGAGUGAACUCCAGGAGUUGGUGAUGGACAGGGAGGCCUGGCAUGCUGCGAUUCAUGGGGUCGCGAAGAGUCGGACAUGACUGAGCGACUGAACUGAACUGAAUGACAAAUUUUAAUUGUUUCUUUUACUGAAAUGCCUUUGUUCUUUAUGGAUUCUUUUCUUUGCUACUGAAUUCUGCGUCUUGUUUUAUAUUUUUCUGCUUCAUUUCUGAAGACAAGUCAUUUUUGUCUUCAUGCUUCCAAGAUUUUCUCAUUACCUUCAGUUUUCAGCUGUUUAAGUAUGAUGUGCCUCAGUAUGGUUUUCUUUGUGUUAAUCCUUUUUGGAUUAACAGGGUUUAUUUCCUUUGGGAUUGAGUGGCUUGAUCUCCUUGUUGUCCAGAGACUCUCAAGCGUCUUCUCCAGUACCAAAGUUCAAAGGCAUCAAUUCUUUGGCACUUAGUCUUCUUUAUGGUCCAACUUUCACAUCCAUAAAUGACUACUGGAAAAACCACAGCUUUGACUAUACAGACCUUUGUUGGCAAAGUGUAUAUGUAUCAUCACCUAUUAAUUGUUUCUUUGGAGAACCCAGACUAAUGCACACAAAAAAGAAAAAAAAUCUCAGCUAUGCUGGGGCUCAGCAAUUAUGCCAUCCACUGAAUGUAACCUAUGGAAGUUGUUUGAAGGAACUCUUAGGGGAAGGGAUCCAGCCAAAUGAUACUUAAAUCACAACUAAGCUUUCAGGGAAAGGGAAAUGAAGUGCACAUCCAAGAGUGAUGCUCCCGCACCUCUGACCUUCCAGUUCCUCUCAAAGUCUCCAAGCACUUUCCCUUCUUGGUGUUGGUUCACAAACUCAGGAGUUUCCAGGUGAAACUCAAAACUGACCCAUGUACAUGGAGGGCAACAGAAUAGGCAGACCACUCCAAAUUGGUAGGUGGCAGUGUAAAUAAGCAAGGGAACUUAUGUAGGAGGCUUAUCUUGGGCAGCUGCAAGCUGUUUACAGAGAAGCCUUAAAUGAGUUCAGUCACAUUUACUGUCCAGAUGGUCUCAACAACACAUUAGCAUCUCAAGGCUGUAUCCUUGAAAUGGCUCCUGGUGUGAGAACAUUGGGCAGACUGUACAUUCCAAGCAAGGGGAUAGGGAGGAGUCUCCAAUUGCCAGGGUCCAGCUUUCAGGUCAACCAGUGGUCACCUCCUUUUGAUGACCUCUUCCAAUAGCCUCCCUCUUUUAAAAGGCUGUCAGUGGGACCCUGCACAGCCUUUUGUUAGAGCACCUCCCAGUCCAGCACUAACAUCCAAAUAAUACUCAUUUGGAGGAGUUCCAUGUUGUGAGACAACCCCACAAAGUAAGAACACCUGUUUAUCUGCCCAUACCUUUUAUUUCUUUGUCAAACUGUGCUCACAUGGUGGGGGUCACAUUUUCAGGAAGUCUGUAUGAAAGAGAAACUUCUUUAACUUUGGAUAUUACAAAGCAUCUUAAUGUACAGAAUUCUGACACAUUUUCUCCCUUUUUCUUGUAAUUUUCUCCACAACUAUUCAUAACUAUUCAUGGACUGCGUGCUGCAGCCCAUGGGGUCACAAAGAGUCAGACAUGACUGAGUGACUGAACUGAACUGAUUCAUAAACAGACAUAUUAGUGACAAUCAUUCUGCCACAAUCAUCGUAAGACUCAAUUUGUUGUUUAGUCACUAAGUUGUGUCUAACUCUUCUGCAAACCCAUGGGCUGUAGCCUGCCAUGCUCCUCUGUCCAUGGGAUUUCCCAGGCAAGAACACUGGAGUGGGUA
This is an RNA transcript of Cervus elaphus (red deer), 2454 nucleotides long. It is a transcript of the gene named zinc finger protein 404, with no coding region annotated. The record is from RefSeq and is a predicted model, not a curated record. The transcript is spliced from 6 exons. Lineage: Eukaryota; Metazoa; Chordata; Mammalia; Artiodactyla; Cervidae.